This 497-nucleotide ribosomal RNA is filed under the name uncultured bacterium. Its description in RNAcentral is "partial 16S ribosomal RNA". It matches the Rfam family "Bacterial small subunit ribosomal RNA", at positions 28 to 507 of the family's 1533-position model. The record is from RNAcentral.
GAUGAACGCUGGCGGCGUGCCUAAUACAUGCAAGUCGAGCGAACAGACGAGGAGCUUGCUCCUCUGACGUUAGCGGCGGACGGGUGAGUAACACGUGGAUAACCUACCUAUAAGACUGGGAUAACUUCGGGAAACCGGAGCUAAUACCGGAUAAUAUAUUGAACCGCAUGGUUCAAUAGUGAAAGACGGUUUUGCUGUCACUUAUAGCUGGAUCCGCGCCGCAUUAGCUAGUUGGUAAGGUAACGGCUUACCAAGGCAACGAUGCGUAGCCGACCUGAGAGGGUGAUCGGCCACACUGGAACUGAGACACGGUCCAGACGCCUACGGGAGGCAGCAGUAGGGAAUCUUCCGCAAUGGGCGAAAGCUUGACGGAGCAACGCCGCGUGAGUGAUGAAGGUCUUCGGAUCGUAAAACUCUGUUAUUAGGGAAGAACAAAUGUGUAAGUAACUAUGCACGUCUUGACGGUACCGAAUCAGAAAGCCACGGCUAACUACGUG